This 158-nucleotide small RNA is filed under the name Chrysemys picta bellii (western painted turtle). RNAcentral describes it as "TUC338 (ENSCPBG00000003403.1)". Lineage: Eukaryota; Metazoa; Chordata; Testudines; Emydidae. The record is from RNAcentral.
AAGUCUGUCUUGGAGAGUGAUGUCCUCUGUCUAUAACACAGAUACAGAAAUGGUUGGACAGAGCAGGCUUCCCUGUAGUAAUGUGCCUCAGUUCUGACCUGAAGGGACCACCUCAAGACAAAAGAGCUUAUUUCAGUACUGACCCUUUUAAGUCUGCU